GUUUCAAUUUCCUAGUAAUUCAAUACAAAAUUUUAUUGAUAUAAUGUGUUUGUUCCUGCACAUGGAAAUGUCAUUCACAUGAAUUAAACUUCUCAAAAAUCUCGCAAAUAUUUCAUGUAUGUUCGGUACGAUACAAUUCAAUUUUUAAAACCGUUGUAUAUAAAAGACACAUUUGAUGCACUUGUACCGUUAGUUGUGAAAAUUAUAAAAGAAUAAAGGUUCUGAUAAAAUACUCAUUCAAAAAGAUCUUUCAAAAUAAAUUUCCGAACUGCAAGGAUAUACAAAUCAGAAAGUCCCAUAUCAAAUGAUGAAAUUGUUUUCUAAUUUAAAGAUGUGCAACAUUUGAUUCAAUUGAAUCAUAUGAAAAUGUAAAAAAAACUUAAAUAAUCAGACUUUUAUAUUUAUAUAACUUCAGUAAUAAUGAAAUGUAUUAAAUCAUAAUUACACAUACCACCAUAUGUAUAUAAUUAUUUACCAAUAUAGAUACAAUUGUGAUAUGUGGUAAUUUCAAUUUUUCAAUUAAUAGGAAUAAAAUGUAUCAUGGAUGUUUUAUAGUCUAUUCUCAACAAGAAAUAUGCAACAGAUAUAUCAAUAUUCAUGAGAACAUCAUAUGAAAAUAUUCAUAAAACUUUAAAUAACAGACUAUUUCAGAAAUAAAAAUAGAAAUAAAAACAAGAAGAAAUGUAGCCGUUAAUGACGAAAAAGGAAACAGCUUGCGUCCGGUGAUAAUUUUGACAAUGCACAAAUAUGUUGACUUGUUAUAUUGUUCGCUAAUAGAUUACUUAUAGUUCCGUUCAUGGGCGGAAAAGGAGUAUGUAAACCUUACUUAUAAAACUGCUGUUUUGGUGCAAUUAUUACAAACCAACCACCUUUACUUUUUUGGUAAGUCUUUUUGACCUACAUGAAGUUUUAGUGUGACAUUACUUUUAACGUUACUAUAAUAACCAUUGAAUGAGAAAUUGAAAAUUAUUUGAAUAUCAUUAAUUUCAUUUUAAUUGUAAUAAAAAUAUGAUGACACUGAAACUUCUUGAUUAUCUGCAGGAAAUGAAAGACCAAGUAUUGUAAAUAAAGGCAACAAUAGUGUACGUUAUUCUUCAGACGUGCACUUGAUUUUUAUGUGUAUACAUUAUCGCAAAUCAUAUCCUUCGCUGGAUUUUCUUAUCACAAGAAUGAAUUACCUUAGCCGUAUUUGGCACAACUUUUUGGAAUAUUGGGUCCUCAUUUCUCUUCAACUUUGUACUUGUUUGAGUCUAAACUAUUGUGAUCUAAGCGUCACUGCUGAGUCUUAUGUAGACGAAACACGCGUCUUGUGUACUAAAUUAUAAUCCUGGUACCUUUAAUAACUAUUUGUGAGUGUGUCCAGAUUGUCCAAUUUCGAUUAUAUUGAUGAUGUUUCUUUAUCUUUGUUUUAUCCUUUUAUCGUAGGACUAUGUAGGAUGGGGAGGUUUUGGUCGUCUAAUAAACAUUUUUAACUGUCCAAUGCAUUUGUAAUUUGAUCGUUUGUAUAUACAUUAAUUUUAUAUAGUGAAAAGUUUUAUUUUUAAAUUCAUUAAUUUUUCGUCUCAUUCUAAUUGUCAAAGUAAAAUUAAAAUAAACUAUAUUAAGAUAAUAUGUGGAAAUAAUAUAAACCAUAAACUGUUUAAAACAUUAGAAUGGAUAGAAUUGUUAAUAAGCCUUUUUAAUAACAUAAAAUGCAUUCACAUAUCUUCAACAAAAUGUUUAUAAUCUUUUCCUCCCUAAUUUAUUUGAUUGAAGAUCAUUUCCAUGAUUUUUGUUUACCUUUUAUAAUAAAUCCACUAAGAGUAACAGAGUAUUCCUGAAAAUAAUUUCGUAUCUUAGGAUUUCAUAUCAGUUCAUAUCAAUUUACAUUAUUCAAUACUGGAAGCUACUAUUUUUUACAGAUUUUCAUUCUCGAUAUUAACAAAAUGAGAACCAUGAUGAUGUAUUCAGGUUUUCUGUUGAUCUGUAUAUUCGCAUUGUCAGAGCAGUGUCAUUGUCCGGGCUAUUAUACACAGGAAAUUGUUUGUGACAGAACAAUAG
Molecule: long non-coding RNA, 2040 nt
Filed under: Mytilus galloprovincialis (Mediterranean mussel)
Lineage: Eukaryota; Metazoa; Mollusca; Bivalvia; Mytilida; Mytilidae
Source: RNAcentral